GACGAACGCUGGCGGCGUGCUUAACACAUGCAAGUCGAACGGAAAGGCCCUGCUUUUGUGGGGUGCUCUAGUGGCGAACGGGUGAGUAACACGUGAGUAACCUGCCCUUUACUUUUGGAUAACUUCAGGAAACUGGGGCUAAUACCGGAUAGGAGCUCCUGCUGCAUGGUGUGGGUUGGAAAGUUUCGGCGGUUGGGGAUGGACUCGCGGCUUAUCAGCUUGUUGGUGGGGUAGUGGCUUACCAAGGCUUUGACGGGUAGCCGGCCUGAGAGGGUGACCGGCCACAUUGGGACUGAGAUACGGCCCAGACUCCUACGGGAGGCAGCAGUGGGGAAUAUUGCACAAUGGGCGGAAGCCUGAUGCAGCAACGCCGCGUGCGGGAUGACGGCCUUCGGGUUGUAAACCGCUUUCGCCUGUGACGAAGCGUGAGUGACGGUAAUGGGUAAAGAAGCACCGGCUAACUACGUG
RNAcentral lists this ribosomal RNA (468 nucleotides) under uncultured bacterium. RNAcentral describes it as "partial 16S ribosomal RNA". It matches the Rfam family "Bacterial small subunit ribosomal RNA", at positions 28 to 507 of the family's 1533-position model. The record is from RNAcentral.